Molecule: non-coding RNA, 72 nt
Organism: Phrynosoma platyrhinos (Desert horned lizard)
Lineage: Eukaryota; Metazoa; Chordata; Lepidosauria; Squamata; Phrynosomatidae
Source: the annotation of a GenBank genome assembly
GAAAGUGUGGUAUUGUGGUUUUCAUGUUAGACUACACUUCUGGAGACCAGGGUUCAAUUCCCAGCUUGGCCA